This 439-nucleotide ribosomal RNA is filed under the name uncultured bacterium. RNAcentral's name for it is "partial 16S ribosomal RNA". It matches the Rfam family "Bacterial small subunit ribosomal RNA", at positions 338 to 795 of the family's 1533-position model. The record is from RNAcentral.
CCUACUGGCGGCUGCAGUGAGGAAUAUUGGGCAAUGGAGGCAACUCUGACCCAGCCAUGCCGCGUGAGUGAAGAAGGUUUUCGGAUUGUAAAGCUCUUUCGGAUGUGACGAUGAUGACGGUAGCAUCUAAAGAAGCCCCGGCUAACUUCGUGCCAGCAGCCGCGGUAAUACGAAGGGGGCAAGCGUUAUCCGGAUUUAUUGGGUUUAAAGGGUGCGCAGGCGGAGGUGCAAGUCAGCGGUCAAAUUGCGGGGCUCAACCCCGUACUGCCGUUGAAACUGCAUCCCUUGAGUGCGCGAGAAGUAUGCGGAAUGCGUGGUGUAGCGGUGAAAUGCAUAGAUAUCACGCAGAACUCCGAUUGCGAAGGCAGCAUACCGGCGCGCAACUGACGCUCAUGCACGAAAGCGUGGGUAUCGAACAGGAUUAGAUACCCCUGUAGUC